AGCGAACGCUGGCGGCAGGCUUAACACAUGCAAGUCGAGCGGGCAUCCGUGUGGUGUCCGCGGCAGACGGGUGAGUAACGCGUGGGAACGUGCCCUUCGGUUCGGAAUAACUCAGGGAAACUUGCGCUAAGACCGGAUACGUGCGAGAGGAGAAAGGUUUAUCUGCCGAAGGAUCGGCCUGCGUCUGAUUAGCUAGUUGGUGAGGUUAUGGCUCACCAAGGCGACGAUCAGUAGCUGGUCUGAGAGGAUGAUCAGCCACACUGGGACGGAGACACGGCCGAGACUCCUACGGGAAGCGGCAGUGGUGAAUGGUGGAAAACGGGGGCAAUCCUGAUCCAGCCAUGACGGGUGAGUGAUGACAGCCUUAGAGUUGUAAAGCGCUUUUCUCCGGGACGAUAAUGACGGUACCGGAGGAAUAAGCCCCGGCUAACUUCGUG
RNAcentral lists this ribosomal RNA (437 nucleotides) under uncultured bacterium. Its description in RNAcentral is "partial 16S ribosomal RNA". It matches the Rfam family "Bacterial small subunit ribosomal RNA", at positions 29 to 507 of the family's 1533-position model. The record is from RNAcentral.